Molecule: ribosomal RNA, 115 nt
Filed under: Microtus ochrogaster (prairie vole)
Lineage: Eukaryota; Metazoa; Chordata; Mammalia; Rodentia; Cricetidae
Source: RNAcentral
GUAUACGCCAGACCACCCUGAACGCGCCAAUCUCCUGUGAUCUCAGAAGCUAAGCGGGGACAAGACUGGUUAGUACUUGGAUGGGAUUCCGCCUAGGAAUACCGGGUGCUAUACG